AUUGAACGCUGGCGGCAUGCCUUACACAUGCAAGUCGAACGGCAGCACAGGUGCUUGCCCCUGGUGGCGAGUGGCGAACGGGUGAGUAAUACAUCGGAACAUGUCCUGUAGUGGGGGAUAGCCCGGCGAAAGCCGGAUUAAUACCGCAUACGAUCUACGGAUGAAAGCGGGGGACCUUCGGGCCUCGCGCUAUAGGGUUGGCCGAUGGCUGAUUAGCUAGUUGGUGGGGUAAAGGCCUACCAAGGCGACGAUCAGUAGCUGGUCUGAGAGGACGACCAGCCACACUGGGACUGAGACACGGCCCAGACUCCUACGGGAGGCAGCAGUGGGGAAUUUUGGACAAUGGGCGAAAGCCUGAUCCAGCAAUGCCGCGUGUGUGAAGAAGGCCUUCGGGUUGUAAAGCACUUUUGUCCGGAAAGAAAUCCUUGGCCCUAAUACGGUCGGGGGAUGACGGUACCGGAAGAAUAAGCACCGGCUAACUACGUG
This 486-nucleotide ribosomal RNA is filed under the name uncultured bacterium. RNAcentral's name for it is "partial 16S ribosomal RNA". It matches the Rfam family "Bacterial small subunit ribosomal RNA", at positions 30 to 507 of the family's 1533-position model. The record is from RNAcentral.